RNAcentral lists this unclassified non-coding RNA (197 nucleotides) under plant metagenome. RNAcentral describes it as "partial contains small subunit ribosomal RNA, internal transcribed spacer 1, and 5.8S ribosomal RNA". The record is from RNAcentral.
GCUCCGUUGGUGAACCAGCGGAGGGAUCAUUACCGAGUGCAAACUCAUAACCCUUUGUGAACCUAUAUCUGUUGCUUCGGCGGCCCGCUCUCGGGCGAGCCCGCCGGUAAUAUCAGUAUCUCUGUUUGAACCCGACGAUACUUCUGAGUGUUCUUAGCGAACAGUUAAAACUUUUAACAACGGAUCUCUUGGCUCUA